GUUGCUCUAGAGAAAUGGUAACUCGCUCGCCUCCUAAGCGAGAGACUGUGGGUUCGAGUCCCACGAGUGACU
Molecule: transfer RNA, 72 nt
Organism: Pestalotiopsis fici W106-1
Lineage: Eukaryota; Fungi; Ascomycota; Sordariomycetes; Amphisphaeriales; Sporocadaceae
Rfam family: tRNA
About the family: Transfer RNA (tRNA) molecules are approximately 80 nucleotides in length. Their secondary structure includes four short double-helical elements and three loops (D, anti-codon, and T loops). Further hydrogen bonds mediate the characteristic L-shaped molecular structure. tRNAs have two regions of fundamental functional importance: the anti-codon, which is responsible for specific mRNA codon recognition, and the 3' end, to which the tRNAs corresponding amino acid is attached (by aminoacyl-tRNA synthetases). tRNAs cope with the degeneracy of the genetic code in two manners: having more than one tRNA (with a specific anti-codon) for a particular amino acid; and 'wobble' base-pairing, i.e. permitting non-standard base-pairing at the 3rd anti-codon position.
Source: Rfam